AAUCAACGCUGGCGGCGUGCCUAACACAUGCAAGUCGCACGAGAAAGGGGAGCAAUCCCUGAGUAAAGUGGCGCACGGGUGAGUAACACGUGAAUCAUCUACCUCCGAGUGGGGAAUAACUGAGAGAAAUCUUAGCUAAUACCGCAUAACACUUACGAGUCAAAGCAGCAAUGCGCUUGGAGAGGAGUUCGCGGCCGAUUAGUUAGUUGGCGGGGUAAGU
This 220-nucleotide ribosomal RNA is filed under the name uncultured bacterium. Its description in RNAcentral is "partial 16S ribosomal RNA". It matches the Rfam family "Bacterial small subunit ribosomal RNA", at positions 32 to 262 of the family's 1533-position model. The record is from RNAcentral.